This 579-nucleotide ribosomal RNA is filed under the name uncultured bacterium. RNAcentral describes it as "bacterial SSU rRNA". It matches the Rfam family "Bacterial small subunit ribosomal RNA", at positions 338 to 916 of the family's 1533-position model. The record is from RNAcentral.
CCUACGGGAGGCAGCAGUAAGGAAUAUUGGACAAUGCUCGCAAGAGUGAUCCAGCCAUGCCGCGUGCAGGAAGAAUGCCCUAUGGGUAGUAAACUGCUUUUGAACUAGAGAAAAUCCCAGUACGUGUACUGGGCUGAUAGUAUAGUUAGAAUAAGCAUCGGCUAACUUCGUGCCAGCAGCCGCGGUAAGACGAAGGAUGCAAGCGUUAUCCGGAUUCAUUGGGUUUAAAGGGAGCGUAGGUGGACUGAUAAGUCAGUGGUGAAAUCUCCGAGCUUAACUCGGAAAUUGCCAUUGAUACUGUUGGUCUUGAGUACAGUUGCUGUGGGCGGAAUAUGACAUGUAGUGGUGAAAUACAUAGAGAUGUCAUAGAACACCGAUUGCGAAGGCAGCUCACAAAGCUGUAACUGACACUGAGGCUCGAAAGUGCGGGGAUCAAACAGGAUUAGAUACCCUGGUAGUCCGCACCGUAAACGAUGAUUACUCGCUGCUAGGGGGCAACCUUUAGUGGCUUAGCGAAAGCGAUAAGUAAUCCACCUGGGGAGUACGCCGGCAACGGUGAAACGUCAAAUGAAUUGACGG